Molecule: small nucleolar RNA, 135 nt
Organism: Bufo gargarizans (Asiatic toad)
Lineage: Eukaryota; Metazoa; Chordata; Amphibia; Anura; Bufonidae
Product: U8 small nucleolar RNA
Exons: 1
Source: RefSeq, a predicted model, not a curated record
UUGUCAGUGAGGUCAAUCCUUACCUGUUCCUCCUCCGGGAGAAACAGACAUGAUGAAUGGAGGAGGCUGAGUGUGUGAUUACACCGAACUCUGACACCGCCCUGACCGACAACUCGGGGCGUGUGACAUUCUGAG